CGAGGAAAGAGUGCAUUUGUCGGGGACUACUUUCAGCAGCGGAUUAAUCCACAUGUGGUGCUCUUGUCACAAAACGUGUUAAU
Etheostoma cragini (Arkansas darter) is the source of this 83-nucleotide long non-coding RNA. RefSeq lists it as uncharacterized. NCBI's taxonomy places the organism in Eukaryota, Metazoa, Chordata, Actinopteri, Perciformes, Percidae. The transcript is spliced from 3 exons. The record is from RefSeq and is a predicted model, not a curated record.